This is a long non-coding RNA of Paramormyrops kingsleyae, 358 nucleotides long. RefSeq lists it as uncharacterized. Lineage: Eukaryota; Metazoa; Chordata; Actinopteri; Osteoglossiformes; Mormyridae. The record is from RefSeq and is a predicted model, not a curated record.
GUUCUCUUCUUCUCUCCAGCUCCUUCCUGUCGUAGUUGAGCUUCUUCAAGCACAUGAUUCCGUACUGCAGGCUCGUCCUGUUGGAAUGAGGAAUGAGGACCCCAAGAGGUCAACAGAAACCAGCAGACCACUGCCACUGCUCCUUUAUAAGUCCCAUGGCUAAAGUCUCCUGCUCACCUGUGCCCAGCUUCCCUCCUCGGACUCGGACUUCUGCGGCAUGAGGGUGCCGGGCCCAGCGAUGCGUACCACCAGUGCCAACAGACACAGAGAUAGAGGGCCCAGACUAAGGACGGGAAGAGGACAAUGCCAUGGUGCCAACAAUGCAGGGGUGCAGCAGCGCCGCUAUCUAACUUACCCG